UCGGGAAUUUUGCACAAUGGGGGAAACCCUGAUGCAGCGACGCCGCGUGAGUGAUGAAGCCCUUCGGGGUGUAAAGCUCUUUCGACAGGAACGAUAAUGACGGUACCUGGAGAAGAAGCUGCGGCUAACUACGUGCCAGCAGCCGCGGUAAUACGUAGGCAGCAAACGUUGUUCGGAGUUACUGGGCGUAAAGGGCGCGUAGGCGGCAAUUCAAGUCAUCUGUGAAAUCUCCGGGCUUAACUCGGAACGGUCAGAUGAUACUGCUUUGCUAGAGUGCAGAAGGGGCAAUCGGAAUUCUUGGUGUAGCGGUGAAAUGCGUAGAUAUCAAGAGGAACACCUGAGGUGAAGACGGGUUGCUGGGCUGACACUGACGCUGAGGCGCGAAAGCCAGGGGAGCAAACGGGAUUAGAUACCCCCGUAGUCCCUGAGCGGGCUGGCAAGGCGCAU
Molecule: ribosomal RNA, 447 nt
Filed under: uncultured bacterium
Lineage: Bacteria
Description: bacterial SSU rRNA
Rfam family: Bacterial small subunit ribosomal RNA
Source: RNAcentral